Magnolia sinica is the source of this 2416-nucleotide RNA transcript. It is a transcript of the gene named GATA transcription factor 26-like, with no coding region annotated. The record is from RefSeq and is a predicted model, not a curated record. The transcript is spliced from 8 exons. NCBI's taxonomy places the organism in Eukaryota, Viridiplantae, Streptophyta, Magnoliopsida, Magnoliales, Magnoliaceae.
GGGCCUUUGGCCUAUUGAGAGAUGAAAACGAGCAGUUUGUGGAAAAUGAAGGCACGCAUGUUAUAAAAACGUUUGAAAACGACGAAUGGAUGCAAUGAUGCAGUCAUCUGUGAAAAGAAAGGCAGAAAUGGUGGAACAAGAACCUUUCCACCAUCACCUAUUUUAAAAAACAGACCCACCCCGAAAGCAAAUAAAAGCCUCUCUUCUCUCUCUCUCUCUCUCUCUCUCUCUCUCUCUUCAAAUGCUUCCUUUUAUUUUGUACUUUUUCACCAUAGAUUUGAUCUUACCAUACAAAUGGGAAGGUCUCAUUGUUAUCUUUUUUCCUCUCUCUCAUGGAAAGUAAGAACUUUUUCUCUGAAGUCUUGUUGGAGAAUGUAAUGGAAACAAUGGAAUGAAAAAGACCCACAUAGGAACUAAGUGUUGCAUGUUACGCUGGCUUUUGUUUGAGAGAACAGAAUAAAGAACAAAGGAAGUGAAAUUUGCAAUUGGGUUCUUGUAAUCUCAGUUGGGUUCUUUUGGUACUGCUGAUUGGGCUGGUUUAUUUAGUUGGAAUAAGCUUGGAGAGAGAAACGAACAUGGGUAAACAAGGACCUUGCUGCCAUUGUGGGGUUACAAACACUCCACUUUGGAGGAACGGACCACCUGGGAAGCCGGUGUUGUGCAAUGCAUGUGGAUCAAGAUGGAGGACAAAGGGUUCGCUUUCAAACUAUGCUCCGUUACAUUCCCGUUGGCCUCCACCUAUUGAUUCUGAUGACUACAAGAACUCUAGAGAGUAUAAAUCGCCGUCCAAGAAAAAACCGAAAAUUCUGCACGUAAUAAAUCAUGCUGAACAUGCAAUGGAAGUUGGAGAGACGGUAUCAGGACAUUACCAGCCCACAACAUGUUUUGAGGAUGAUAUUAGUAACAGAUCAAGUUCAGGGUCAGGAAUGUCAUUCUCUGAGAGCUGCAUUCAGCAUGGAAGGAUGGAUGGAAACGAUAUCUCAGGUUCAGCACAAUCGCAUUUGUGGGACUCCCACAUUCCUUCACGAAAGAGGACGGGCAAUAAACGCCAAAGCCCAUCACCUGUUGAAAAGCUCAGAAGAGAUCUCUGUGAUAUUCUACAGGAGCAAGAAUCAUCCUACCCAUCUCGGUCCUCAGAAGAACUACUUUUUGAAAGGGAAGAAGAUCCAAUGGCCUCUGGUGAGACAGGCUUGGGUGGUUUUCUAAUCAAGGAGCCCCUUCCAUCUGCAGAAGAGGAAUCGGAAGCAAGCUCACUUAUGACAAGAAACAAGAUUUCAUGUUUGAAUGAUGCUAAUAUGGGAUCACCGUCUUUUUGUGCACAUUCCCAAAGUUAUGAAAUUAGUUCAAGUCCACCAUGCAAAUAUAAAUUGACUCAGGACAUAGAAGAGGCAGAGAAAAUGAAAGAACAGCUGGGAAAACGUGAUGAUCUCGCAAAUAUAAAUUCGGAGAGCCCUCUUCUCAGCAAUCUCGGUGUUCUACAGAAUAUCCAUUCACCUCAGAGUCCAAUAGAUCUACAACCGUUAACCGAUGAAAGCUUUACAUGGGAGAAAGAAACAUCAUCUAGCUCAUCUCACAUCAUUGAAGCUGGGAAUCCGCUGUCAACAAACAGACCUCUAACAAGCCACACUGGCAGACAUCCGAGGGUGGAUUUCCUAUGAAACUGGCAGGGCCAAAAAGGAAGUUUGGAGGCUCUAAAUCAUCACAGCAUACAUUUUCAUCCCCUACAAGCAAGUUCGAAAGCAGUUACAGAUUUUAUAAGUACAACCAUAUUCAAGGAAACAAAUAAUCAGGGUCUAACAGGGUGUUCCAAUUCAAGCACAAAUCUAUCUGCCUCAUCUCUAGACAGUAGAAGCUUGACUAUGCUCAAUCCGGUGAAGGCUAACUCAGUUGAAACACUCGAUAAGGACUGCCUUGUAAGUUCACCUUCUGAUGUUUCCUUCUCUCCGGAAGAAUUUCUCUACUCACCAUCUCAAAACAAAGAGCCAAUCUAGAAGAAACACAAUCGGCGGCCAAGAUGUUCCAAUUUCACAAUCUUCGUUUUUUGUACCUAGCAGACAAGCCAGUACCAUACCAUACCCAAAUCAGUCAACUCUUCUAAUAAAGCAUUUUACAAAGUCGGCGACCCAUCCAAUGCAUGCGUUCUUCUCAUGCUAAUGGUUAGUCAGGGACAGUUCUAAUAAAGAUGUAUGUGCAUAUGGAGGUGUCUGUCUUGAAAGGGCCAGCUGUAUGCAAAUGAUUCUACAAAAACAAGGUUCUGAAUUUCUGGGGUCGGGUUGUUCAUUCUGUGAAUGGUUGAAUCAAAAGGAAACUUUGAUGUAGAUGGUAAAUUGGUUUGAUUCGAUCCUUGCUGAUACACAAUGAACUAGUCAUGAACAAUACAUCGAAAGUCUUUUUUAGUAUGGCAUUUCUAACUCAA